AGAGUUUGAUCCUGGCUCAGGACGAACGCUGGCGGCACGCUUAACACAUGCAGGUCGAACGAGAGAAGAGGAGCUUGCUUUUCUGAUCUAGUGGCGGACGGGUGAGUAACACGUGAGCAAUCUGCCUUUCAGAGGGGGAUACCGAUUGGAAACGAUCGUUAAUACCGCAUAACAUAAUUGAACCGCAUGAUUUGAUUAUCAAAGAUUUAUCGCUGAAAGAUGAGCUCGCGUCUGAUUAGCUAGUUGGUAAGGUAACGGCUUACCAAGGCGACGAUCAGUAGCCGGACUGAGAGGUUGAUCGGCCACAUUGGGACUGAGACACGGCCCAGACUCCUACGGGAGGCAGCAGUGGGGAAUAUUGCACAAUGGAGGAAACUCUGAUGCAGCGAUGCCGCGUGAGGGAAGAAGGUUUUAGGAUUGUAAACCUCUGUCUUCAGGGACGAAAAAAGACGGUACCUGAGGAGGAAGCUCCGGCUAACUACGUGCCAGCAGCCGCGGUAAUACGUAGGGAGCGAGCGUUGUCCGGAAUUACUGGGUGUAAAGGGAGCGUAGGCGGGAUCGCAAGUCAGAUGUGAAAACUAUGGGCUUAACCCAUAAACUGCAUUUGAAACUGUGGUUCUUGAGUGAAGUAGAGGUAAGCGGAAUUCCUAGUGUAGCGGUGAAAUGCGUAGAUAUUAGGAGGAACAUCAGUGGCGAAGGCGGCUUACUGGGCUUUAACUGACGCUGAGGCUCGAAAGCGUGGGGAGCAAACGGGAUUAGAUACCCUGGUAGUCCACGCCGUAAACGAUGAUUACUAGGUGUGGGGGGACUGACCCCUUCCGUGCCGCAGCAAACGCAAUAAGUAAUCCACCUGGGCAGUACGACCGCAAGGUUGAAACUCAAAGGAAUUGACGGGGGCCCGCACAAGCAGUGGAGUAUGUGGAUUAAUUCGAAGCAACGCGAAGAACCUUACCAGGUCUUGACAUCGUAUGCAUAGCUCAGAGAUGAGUGAAAUCUCUUCGGAGACAUAUAGACAGGUGGUGCAUGGUUGUCGUCAGCUCGUGUCGUGAGAUGUUGGGUUAAGUCCCGCAACGAGCGCAACCCUUACUGUUAGUUGCUACGCAAGAGCACUCUAGCAGGACUGCCGUUGACAAAACGGAGGAAGGUGGGGAUGACGUCAAAUCAUCAUGCCCCUUAUGACCUGGGCCUCACACGUACUACAAUGGCUGUCAACAGAGGGAAGCAAAGCCGCGAGGUGGAGCGAACCCCUAAAAGCAGUCUUAGUUCGGAUUGUAGGCUGCAACCCGCCUACAUGAAGUCGGAAUUGCUAGUAAUCGCAGAUCAGCAUGCUGCGGUGAAUACGUUCCCGGGCCUUGUACACACCGCCCGUCACGCCAUGGGAGUCGGUAACACCCGAAGCCUGUAGUCUAACCGCAAGGAGGACGCAGUCGAAGGUGGGAUUGAUGACUGGGGUGAAGUCGUAACAAGGUA
RNAcentral lists this ribosomal RNA (1470 nucleotides) under metagenome. RNAcentral describes it as "bacterial SSU rRNA". It matches the Rfam family "Bacterial small subunit ribosomal RNA". The record is from RNAcentral.